GAUGAACGCUGGCGGCGUGCCUAAUACAUGCAAGUCGAGCGAACAGACGAGGAGCUUGCUCCUCUGACGUUAGCGGCGGACGGGUGAGUAACACGUGGAUAACCUACCUAUAAGACUGGGAUAACUUCGGGAAACCGGAGCUAAUACCGGAUAAUAUAUUUAACCGCAUGGUUCAAUAUUGAAAGACGGUUUUGCUGUCACUUAUAGAUUGAUCCGCGCCGCAUUAGCUAGUUGGUAAGGUAACGGCUUACCAAGGCAACGAUGCGUAGCCGACCUGAGAGGGUGAUCGGCCACACUGGAACUGAGACACGGUCCAGACUCCUACGGGAGGCAGCAGUAGGGAAUCUUCCGCAAUGGGCGAAAGCCUGACGGAGCAACGCCGCGUGAGUGAUGAAGGUCUUCGGAUCGUAAAACUCUGUUAUUAGGGAAGAACAAAUGUGUAAGUAACUAUGCACGUCUUGACGGUACCUAAUCAGAAAGCCACGGCUAACUACGUG
This 497-nucleotide ribosomal RNA is filed under the name uncultured bacterium. RNAcentral's name for it is "partial 16S ribosomal RNA". It matches the Rfam family "Bacterial small subunit ribosomal RNA", at positions 28 to 507 of the family's 1533-position model. The record is from RNAcentral.